GCCAGGUGUGGUGGCGCAUGCCUGUAAUCCCAGCUACUCGGGAGGCUGAGGCUGGAGAAUCGCUUGAACCCAGGAGGCGGAGGCUGCAGUGGGCUGAGAUGGCGCCACUGCACUCCAGCCUGGGCGACAGAGUGAGACUCUGUCUCAA
RNAcentral lists this non-coding RNA (148 nucleotides) under Nomascus leucogenys (northern white-cheeked gibbon). Lineage: Eukaryota; Metazoa; Chordata; Mammalia; Primates; Hylobatidae. The record is from Rfam by way of RNAcentral.